AUUUAAUAAUUUUAAAAGCCACACAGUGCUGCUUCAGAGAGAGAACAAAUGAAUGAAUAUAAAAAUGAGUGAGAAAGAAGAAGAAAGGAAGGAAGAAGAAAAAGAAGGGAGGAAUAAAGGAGAAAAGGAGAUAAUUGUGUUGAAAAAGGGAGCUUGGCAAACUUGUAAACUGAUACCUUAACCUAAUCCAAACCUAGCUUUGGGUUAGAAAGGAAAGAUUCCUUAGAAAAACAUAACCAGGUAGAUUAAGAUGAGAUUUCCUCCUCCAUAACCUUCUUUUAUUUUGCUUUGUGUACACGUCAUAGGCAUACCAAGAACAAACAAGGGAGCAGUUUUUGCUGUUGAGUACCUUUGGACUUUCAGUAUACAACUGUCUGUAGUAGGUCCUAUUCUAAGAUACAGUUUUGAGCACAGUGUCCAAAAUUUAUGUGUGGAAAUGGUUGUAAAAUCCUAGGUAAAUGUUGCACUAUAACCAAUUUAACAAUGAUUUAUCUGGGCAAAAUUUAUGGGUUUGUUUCCUUUCUGUGUUAAGAAAGAUUUAUGUUUCAAUAGGCUUAGAAAGACACCUACUGGAUUGUGUGUCCACAGUAAUAGAUAAUAUAAACCUACUAAGCCAAAAUCUGGCUUCAGGGUAACAUUACAAUUUCACAGACUGGAGUCUAGAGUGCUAUGACCCUCUCUGGUGAACUAGGACAACAGUGCUCGUGGUCUCUUCACUGUGGAAGGAAGGUCAGCUACCCAGUGUGCCACCUUCCCAAACGAACUAGAUUAUUGCUGGAAAAGGAAAGUUCUAGAAUUCUUGAAGCAGUUUCUGAUAUUGGGACUUCAUUUUUUUCUUUUAUUUCUUUUUAUUAAAAAAAUUUUUUUUAAUGUUUAUUCAUUCCUGAGACAGGGAGACAGAGCGCGAGCAGGGGAGGGACACAGAGAGAGAGGGAGACACAGAAUCCAAAACAGGCUCCAGGCUCUGAGCUGUCAGCACAGAGCCCAAUGCGGGGCUCGAACCCAUGAACUGUGAGAUCAUGACCUGAGCUGAAGUCGGACGCUCAACCGAGUGAGCCACCCAGGCACCCUGGGACUUCAUUUUUAAAUGUAAACACGGGUCUUUCCACUGCUUAUAUCUUUUUGACAUUAUAAGUCAUGAAUUCAACGUGCUUACCCAGUAAUAACCUUGGUUAUAUAAGAAGGUUAACCUGAGACUUUAUAACAAUUUGAUAUGGACACAUCCUUAACAGUAUAUCAAAGAUUCUAGGAGUAGAACAAGUUUCCUGAUGCAUAUGGGUGGUAUAGAGGCAUAAGCCUAUGCCCGGUGCAUAGGAUGUCUUUGGAAACAGCUACCUGCCCCCCUUCCACAGGAAUAUAGGAGUAGAUUCCUGACAGUCCUUGUUUUUCCGUGAGACUCUUCAACACAUACAUUUCUGGUCAUACCAGUUGGACCACAGGUAGAUUCAUUAUUCUAAUUGGCCAAUCAGAUUCUCAUUCCUGAGAAUUUAAAAUCAGAUGUGAAGAAGGACCAUAUUAGUCUGUCUCUUCCCAGUGGAUCCAUAUCCUACUAACUAGGGACUUGGUCACGGCCAUUUUCUGCUUUGAGUGUGGGUGGCAGACAAAAGUUAGUCUUCAGGGACAAAGAAGAAAAAAACAGAUAUACAGAAAGGAGCAGAGACAAAACAGAUUAUUUCCUAGGUUCCAGUGCACAGUUCCAGGCCCUUCUUGGUGUCUGUCUGCAUACCAACCUUUGAGUUUUAUGAGACAUCCUGUAUCUUUGUAUAAAAUUACCUUUCUUCUUGCUAAAGGGAGCUCCAGUAGGAUGCUGUUACUUACAAAUAAAAGUACGAACUUUACAAAAUAUGACAAUGUAGUGCAUAAGCAAAAAAAAAUUUAAAAAUAAAGUAAAUGUAUCAAAGUUGCAGACUUUUAUGCCUUAUGAAGAAUUAUAUACGAUAUACAAAUAUCUAAUGCAUAAUAACUGCCAUCACUGUUGCAUAAUAAAACCACAUUAGAAUUAGGGUGGGAACGAGUGGCCUACUGGUAAAUCUAAUUCAUUAUAUAAAAAGCUCUAAACAAGUCUGUAACCUGGUCUUUUGACCUCUCCCUGAAUUGCUUUAUAGAGCUCUUCGAAUAAUUUUUUUAAGUUUUUAUUUUUAUUUUUGAGAGAGCAUGAGCAGGGGCGGUGCAGAGAGAGAGGAAGACAGAGGAUCUGAAGGGGUCUCUGCGCGGACAGCAGAGAUCCCAAUGUGGGCCUUGAACUCACGAACCAUUAGAUCGUGACCUGAGCUGAAGACAGAAAAUGCUUAACUGAGUCACCUAGGCACCCCCAGAGCUCUUAGAAUAAUUUAAUGUAUUCUGAUACAUUAUAGCAAUAGUUAUCUUAAUGUGGGAGGAGAAAAGGACAUCAGAGAAUCACUGGAGGAGUUUUUCCAUUAGCAUCACUUGCCCUAAACAGAAGGCAAUUAUAAAAAUUAAUACAAUAGACUUCCGCUUCUGGGAAGAUGGGGUAGACAUACUUUUUCCAGUUCCACUCUCUAAGUACAGCAAAAAUCCCUGGACAUUACAUAUUCAACAAGCAUAAGAAAACUCUGAAAGACGGAGAGAAGAAAGCAGACUAGCUGGACUAGAGACCAAGCAGUGACAUGGUAGUGAGUUCCCUGGGUUUGCUUUUUCCUCAUAUAUCCCAGACUUGGAGCUUAAGAAGUCAGAAAUGCCAAAAACAAAACAAAAAACUCUAACCAAAGAAUGCUCUCUUUAGCCAAAGGGUUAGGAAAGGGGCAACCUAGCAAGACAGAAAACUUUUGGAAAAUAACCACUGUACUCCAGCCAAACAACAAAGAAAAGACUGUGGCCCUACCUUCACCCAUGGUAGCAAAGGCCAGGUGAGUAGCUUAGAUUUCCACCUUUGCUGGAAUUUCUUUUUCUUUUUUUUCUUUUCUUUUCUUUUCUUUUUCUUUUUUUUUUUUUUUUUUGAGAGAGAGACAGAGAGGGUGCACACUGUCAGCACAGAGCCCGACACUAGGCUCGAACUCAUGAACUGUGAGAUCAUGCCCUGAGCCAAAGUCAAGAGUCAGAAGCUUAACUGACUGAGCCACCCAGGCACUGCUACCCUUGCUGGACUCUUCAUGAGGUGCACCACCACUAGGUGGAGUAGAGAAUAGGGGCUUUUAUCCCCACCAGGGGGUAACAAGCCCCAUGCAAACACUUGGUGUCAGUGGAGACCACAUGGAAAACUAGACUUCCACGUCCAUUGACAGGAGGCACCCCUUUCUGUCUGCUGGGGUAGAAUCAGAAAAGUCCUAGUGGAGAGUCAGUAUUUUUAUAGUAACAAGGCCACCCCUUCUUCCCAACACCUCACUCAUCCCCAACACCCCUCACCAUUUGUGGUGUAGUGUUAAUGAAAAAACAUGUGGGAGCAGUAAUGAGGUAUUCGUAUCCCUUCCAACCAGGGAGGUAUCACUGGAAGCCUGGUGGGAAGCCAGUACUCCCACCCCUACCCAGCAGUAACAAGGAGCCUCCCAUUAGGGUGUCAACAAAGUCUGAGUGAAGAACCUGGACUUCUGAACCAGGACUACCUAACCUGGUGGUAAUUAGAUGGUGCUCCACUUUUCCUGUUGGAGAGGUGUGAGAGGAAGCCAGCUAAAACAGAAAGUUAAAUAAGGUCCAGAUUGUUAUAAUAUUCAAAAUAUUCAGAUCUCAACCAAAAUUCACUUAUCAUACCAAGAUCUCAGACUGAGUGAGAAAAGACAAUCAAUAAAUGCCAACACUACAACGAUAAAGAUGUUAGUUAUCUGACAGAGAUUUUACGGCAGCCAUCAUAACAUUGCUUCAGUGAGCAAUUGUGAACGCAGUUGAAUCAACUGAAAAAAUAGUCUCAGCAAAGAAAUAGGAAGUCUCAGCAAAUAUUUAGAAGAUACAAGGAAAAACAAAUGGAAAUUUCAGAACUGAAAAGAUAUAAUAACAAACAGCUCAGUUGAUGGGCUCAACAGCAGAAUGAUAGGGACAGAGGGAAAAGUUUGUGGACUGGAAGAUACAGCCACUGAAAUUACCCAAUCUGAACAACAGAGAGAACAUAGAGUAAAAAACAUCAAGAAGAGCCUCAGAGACCUGUGGGACUAUAACAAAACUGCUAAUGUUCAUAUCACUGGAGCCCCAGGAGAGGAGAGAGAGAGUAGGGCUUAAAAAGUUCCCUAAGAUGUAAUAUCUAAACACUUCCCCAAUUCACCAAAAACCAUAAACCUACAGAUUUAGGAAGUUGAAAGAACUUCCAAAUAGGAUAAAUCUGAUACACCAAAGCACAUUAUAAUCAAACUUCUAAAACCUGAAGACAAAAAAAAUCUUCAAAGCAACCAGAGAAAAAAAGCACCUUACCCACAAGGGAAAAAAAAAAUUUAAACAAUAGUGGAUUUCUUACCAGAAAAUAUAGAGGCCAGGAGGAAGCAACAUAACAUGUUUUAAGUGAUGAAAGAAAAAAACUGUCAACCCAGAACCCUAUAUCCAGUAAAAUAUUGUUAGGGAAAUCAAAACAUUCUCAGAUGAAGGAAAACUAAGAGAAUUUCACCAGCAGACCUAGCCUUAAAAAAACGUCCAACAGAAGUUAGAAUUUCUCUAAAUGGAAAGAAAAGGAAUUUUUUUAAAGGAAUCUUGGAACAUCAGGAAGGAAUAAAGGACAUAGUAAGCAAAAAUAUAGGUAAGUGCAAUAGAUUUUCCUUCUUCAGUUUUCUAAAUUACAUUUGAUGAUCGCAUCAAAAAUUUAUACCACUAUCUGAUAUGGUUCUAAAUGUAUAUAGAGGAAAUGUAUUAAAGGCAAUUACAAUAUAAACAGAAGGAACAUAAAUAUGUGCAGCAAAAACUGAUAGAACUGGAAGGAGAAAUAGAUAAAUCUACACUUAUAGUUGGAGACUUCAGUGCCUCUCUCUUAACAAUUUAUAGAACAAACUAGACAGAAAAUCAGCAAGGCUAUAGAACUGAACAGUGGCAUCAACUAAUAGGAUAUAAUCAACAUUUGUAGAAUAUUUCACCUAACACACAUUCUUACCCAUGGAACAUACACCAGAAUAGACCAUAUCCUGGGCAAUAAAACAAAUCUCAGAAAAUUUUAAGGAAUGAAAUAAUACUGAGUAUAUUCUCCAACCACAAUGGAAUCAAACUGGAAAAUUUGAAAGGUAACAGGAAAGUCUCUAAAUGGAAACUAAAUAACACACUUCCAAGUAACCUAUGGGUCAAAGAGUAAGUCUCAAGGGAAAGAAAAAUACAUUGAAAUGAAUGAAAAUGCAACAUAUCAAAUUUUGUGGGACCAGCUUCUGCAGUGCUGAGAGGGAAAUUUAUAGCAAUAGAAUGCACACAUGAGAAUAAGAGGAAAAGUCACAAAUCAGUAAUCUAAGUUCCCAUCUUAAAAAACUAGAAAAAGAACAAAAUAAAUCCAAAGUAAUCAAAUGAGGAAAUAUUAAAAAACAGAAAUUAAUAAAAUUGAGAACGGAAAAACAAUAGAGAACAUCAAUGAAACAAAAAAGCUUGUUCAUUGGAAAAAUCAAUUAAGGUGACAACCUCUAUCUAGCAAGACUGACCAAAAAAAGACACAAAUUACUAACAUCAGAAAUGAAACAUGAGAUAUCAAUAGACCCUGCAGAUAACAAUAUGAUAAAAAUAGAAUGCUACAAACAACUCUGCACACAUACAUUUGACAAAUUAAAGACCAAUUCUUAAAAAGUUCAAACUACCUCAACACACCUAAUGUGAAAUAGAUAAUUUGAGUAGCCCUAUAAUUAUUAAGGAAAUUGAAUAAUUUUAAAACUCUACAAAAGAAAUCUGGUGGCUCAGAUGGUUUCACUAGAGAAUGCUACCAAACAUUUGAAGACUUUUAGGAAAUAGAAGAGGAGGGACCACAUCCCAAUUCAUUUUAUAAAAGUAGUAUUAGCCUGAUAUGAAAAACAAAUAAUUACAAAGCUGCAGGCCAAUAUUACUCAUUUAUAAAAAUGCAAAAAAUAUUUUUUAAUUUAUUUUGAGAGAAAGCGUGAGUCGGGAAGGGGCAGAGAGAGAGGAAGAGGGAGAGAAUCCCAAGUAGGCUACAUACUAUCAGUGUGGAGCCCGAUGCAGGGCUCAAACCCAUCAACCGUGAGAUCAUGACCUGAGCCAAAAUUAGACGUUUAACUGACUGAGCUGCCCAGGGGCCCCAAGAUGCAAAAUGAUUAAACAAUGUUAACAGAUAAAACUCAGCAAUAUACAGUAAAACCUUGGUUUGUGAGUAUAGUUUCUUCCAGAAACAUGCUUGUAAUCCAAGGCACUUAUAUAUCAAAGCAAAUUUUCCCCUAAGAAAUAAUGGAAACUCAGAUUAUUUGUUCUACAACCCCAAAAUAUUCAUAUAAAAAUGAUUACAGUACUGUAAUAUAAUACAAAAUAAUAAAGAAAACACAAAAUAUAAAGAAAAAUAAAUUAACCUACACUUACUUUUGAAAACCUUCAUGGCUGGUGUGAAGGAGACAGAGAGGAGGGUUAUUGUGUAGGACAACUUUCACUAUCACUGAUGGAAUCACUGCUAUCUAUUGGCUCAGUGGAAUCUUUUCUGCAUGGGGGCCAUUGUAUGUGUUUGCUCAGAUGUUGACUGUAGUAUAGUAUUAAUAAACUCUUGUCAUAUACUGUAUUUAGUGUAGCUGGCAAUAAGGCAGAAAAGGAAAGGUUCUAUAUCUAAAGGCAGCCUGACCUAGAAUGAAGCCAAGCAUUCCUAAGCUUACUCUUGUAUGGAAAAGCAAAGGACCGUCCAUAGGUGCUUUGAAGUGACAAAAAUACACUAGUGCUAGUUGUGGGCACUUUCCAGCGUUCUGAAAAAUCACUCAUUUCUCCCAAACACCUUGGCCUGAGACCGAGCAUCUGAGCAUAGGAGAGACGAUCACCCACAAUCCCACAGCGAGUGAAAGAAAAAGAGAGAGAAGAACCAUUGGCUCAGUUGUGAUCAUGUGAUGUUUGGCAUCACAUACUACUCAUAUUGUAAGACAUCGCUCAUUUAUCAAGUUAGAAUUUAUUAGAAAUGUUUUCUCAUCUUGUGGAACACUCGCAGAACAAGUUACUCGCAAUCCAAGGUUUUACUCUCUAUAUAUUUUUUAAAUCAUACUCCAGGGUUACCUGGGUGGCUCAGUUGGUUAAACAUCCAACUCUUGAUUUCAGCUCAGGUCAUCCUCUCAGGGCUCUGAGAUCGAGUCCCGCAUUGGGCUCUGCUCUGGGUGUGAAACCUGCUUGAGUCUCUCUCUCCCUUUUCCUUUGCCUCUUCCUCUCUCUCUCUUUCUCUAAAAAAAAAUAAAAAAUCAUACACCAAUCAUGCACCAUACACCAUGACCAAGUGGAAUUUGUUUCAGAGAUGUAAGGUUGUCUCAGUAUUUGAAAAAUCAAUGUACUCCACCAUAUUAGCAGGCUAAAGAAGAAAGCACACAAUCAUAUUUAUCAAUGCAGAAAAGGCAUUUGACAAAAUUCAGCACCUAUUUAUGUUUUUUUACUAGUUUAUUAUUAGAGAGAGAGAGAAGGGGAGGGGCACAGAAAGAGAGACAGACAGAGAGAGAGAGAGAGAGAGAGAGAGAGAGAGAGAAUUCCAAGCAGGCUCCACACCGUCAGCACAGAGCCCAAUGUGGGGCUCAAACUCACAAACCAUGAGAUCAUGACCUGAGCUGAAAUCAAGAGUCGGACAUUUAACUGACUGAGCCACCCAGGUGCCCCAGGACCUAUUUAUGGUGAAUGCUCUUAAAAAAAAAAAAAAAAAAAAAGGAACUAACUUCCCCAAGUUGCUUUUUUAAAUUUUAAUCUACAAAAAAACACUACAACUAGCCUUAUAUUCAGUGAUGAAAGACUGAAUGCUGUCUUCCUAAGAUCAGGAACAAGACAAAGAUAUCUACCCUCACUCCUCUUAUUCAGGAUCGUGCUGGAAGUUCUAGCCAGUGUGUUAAGGCAAGAAAAGGAAAUAAAAGUCAUAUAGAAUGGAAAGGAAGAGAUAGAACUGCCUCUAUUUGUAAAAGACAUGAUUACUUACAUAGAAAAGUCCUAAGAAACCUACAAAAAAAAAAAAAAAACCUUCUACAACUAAUUAGUGAGUUCAGAAGACUGCAGGAUUACAAGAUAAACACAAAAAUGCAUUGUAUUUCUAUAUGGUAGUAAUGAACAUAUGGACAGUGAAAUUAAAGAUACAAUAAUGUUUAUAAUUACUCAAAAAAUUGAAAUAUUUAAGAAUAAGUCUAACAAAACAUGAACAGGAUGUGUAUGCUAAAAACUGGAAAACACUGGCUAAAUAAAUCUAAGAAUAUCUAAAUACGCGGAAAGAUGUAUUGCAUUCAUGGAUUGGAAGAUUCAACAUGGUAAAUUUUCUCCAGUCAAUUUUUCUCCAGUCAAUUUUCUUCAGUUUAAUGCAAUUCCUACAAAUUCCCAGCAAGACUUUUUGUCAUUAUAGACAAAAUUACUGUACAAUAUAUAUGGAAAAGCAAAGGAACUAGAAAAGCCAAACAAUUAAAAAAAAAAAAGCGGGAGAAAUCAGUCUAUUCAAUUUCAAGACUUGUUAUUAUAUAGUUACAGUAAAAGACUCUGAUCGUGAUGGAGGGAUAGACAUAUAGAUUAAUGGAGCACAAUGGAGAAUCUAGGUACAGACUCACACAAAUAUGCCCAACUGAUUUGUGUAUAUGUAUAUAUACACAUACAUAUGUAUACGCAUACAUACACUAUUGUAAAAUAUGUAAAACAUGCAAUUUGCCAUUUUAACCAUUUUUAAGUAUACAAUUCAGAAGCACUGAUUAUGUUCACAAUGUUGUACAACCAGUACCAUCUAUUUCCAAAACUUUUCCAUCACCCUAAACAUAAACUCUAUAUCCAUUAGGCAAUAAUAUCCUGCUCCCCUCAACUUCUACUUUCUGUCUCUAUGUAUUUGCUUGUUCUAGGUACUUCAUAUAGGUGGAGUCAUACACUAUUUGUCCUUUUGUGUCUAGCUUAUUUCACUUAGCACGAUGUUUUUUCAAGGCGCAUCUGUGGCAUAGCAUGUGUCAGAACUUCAUUCCUUUUUGUGGCUGAGUAAUAUUCCAUUCCACAUUUAGUCCACCCCUUCUUCAGUUGAUGGACACUCAGAGAAAAGCUUAAAAUUUCCCCCUUCCAAAAUAAAAGUGAAAGUAGGUUGCUAUUUGAACAUGGGAAGGUCUCAGUGUUCUUCCACCCAUUCAUGACAAGGGGAGGAAGUCUAGGGGAAUAUAUUUCCCUCCUCACCAACUCCACAUAGGAAAAACCUCAGGAUUUUUAUAUUAGCCAUACUCGGGGCCAGCAGUCAUGCAAGAUUAGAUACUUUUCCCGUCAUUCCUCUCAGAAAUUAUGCCCUUUCUCAGGGUCCAAGGUGAAUAGACAUAAACCAAUUCACAUUAUUUGUUUCAUAUCAAGCAGAUUCAUUGUUUCCCUGUUUACACUUUUAUUCUCAAAAUUAACCUUUAUCCCCAAUAUUAACCAACAGUUAACACUUCAGGGCACCUUGCACGUGCUCGAUAACUAGUUGUUGGAUGAGAGUGAUUUAAGCUAAAAGUGAUCGUCUCUCACCUUAGUCAGUAAAAGCAGUAUGCAACUUAAAGUACUUGUUUUCCUACCAAAAGCCAGGCUGUUCUGAUAUAUUAACCUGGGAAAAUAAUUAGCCUUGAGAAUAGAAAGUCACGAAAAAGUAAGUCAAUUUGCCAGUUAUUCUGGCUGGCCGUGACAUUAGCCUAAGUCUACGGAGGCCCCAAACAAAGGAAGCACUCUUCCAAACGCUAUCUGAUGAAAACGAAACAUUCUAAUUCAUUCUAAUACUCUCAAGAUGAAUAAAUUAAAUACAGCAGAAAGCUUUUGCCACGCUGGCGUAAAGAAUCAAUACCUGAGAUCAAGUGUUAAAUAUCAGGAUUUGAAGUUUUGGUGUGGGCAUGUGAUUUAUUCCACCAGAUCAGAAUCAAUGUAAUAAAUAGCCAGGCUCGGAUGGAGUUCUACUAAGUUCUAAAACGUUAAAACAUUUCCGCAGAACCGUCGGAUGAAAGUCAAAACGUAUUCAAAUUGAAGAAAAUAGCACUCCCAAAUUUAACUUUUAUAUUUAUCGGUCCAGCGGAGUGACAGGGUGAAUAAUUUUGCCCACUACUAGGAUUUGUUCUUAAGUUUUAAAACCUGCCACAAGAAAAGAGUUUCUGGAUAUAUGAGAUAUCAUUAACCAUAUUAAAGGCUCUUCCUCCAUGUAGGGUGUGCCCAAGAAGUAAACGUUUAUUAUGUCAAAGUGUUCGUUCUCGUUAAUGCAUUGUUCGUUUAUUAAAUGUAAUAGAAUCAAGGUUAGCCCACAAGGGCUUGUCUCUGAAAUGCAAAUAACCUAGCCUGAGGAAAAUCCUGCCGCCUGCAAGUGAUCCUCCUGUGGUCAGCAGCGGCGAACCGGCAGCCUGUCAAAGGGCAGGGACAGGGAGCCUCCUCCUCGGGUGUUCUCUCGGACCUAGCAACUGAGGCCUCUUCGGCCCUGGCCAGCCUCAGCCUUGUCGGGUACUCUUGCCUGAUGGCUGCUGAGGACGUAAGCUCGGACCUCGCUUGCCCUAAAGCCUUUUCUCCCGACCUGGGCAGAAAGCCUCUUCGUCUGAAUCCACGCUCUUCGUCGUUUAGUGUCCCAGAAGGACUAAUGUAUAAAAGUUUUGAGCUCCAUGGAGUGGAUUUUUGUGGACGUAUGGAGACAAACCAUUUGGGAUGAGUGCUAAUGUUUAAUAAGCACCUAAAAAUUAACUCAUUCGGGUUAUGUUUUCAAGAAGCAAAACCUCAAAUAGCCAGACAGGACCUAGUUUGUUGAACUAUUUACAAGUAAACAACCUAGGGGUGCCUGCGUGGCUCAGAUGGACGAACAUGUGACUCUUGAUCUCUGGGUGCUGAGUUGGAGCCCCACACUGGGUGCAGAGAUUACUUAAAUAAAUAACAGUUAACUUAAAAAAACGUGCACAUAGGUUAAAACAACAAGGCACAACCUAGAUAAUAAAUGGUGGCCAGGAUGUGGAGAAAAGGGAACCCAUGUGCACUGUUGGUGGAAAUGUAAACUGGUUCAACCAUUAUGGAAAACAGUAUAGAAGUCCCUCAAGAAAUGCAAAAUAGAGCUACCAUGUGAUCCAGCAAUGCCACUUCUGGGUGUAUAUCCAAAGGAAGCCAUCAUCUGGAAGAGACACUUGUACUUCUGUGUUUACUGCAGCAUUAUUUACAAUAGUGAAGGUAUGCAAACAACCUAAGUAUCCAUCAAUGGAUUAAUGGAUUAAAGAAAAUGCUUAUCUAUAUAUACAUAAUGAUGGAAUAUUAUUCAGUCUUUAAAAACAAAGAAAUCUUGGGGCGCUUGGGUGGCUCAGUCGGUUAAGUGUCUGACUUUUGCUCUGGUCGUGAACUCACGGUUUGUGCGUUCGAGUCCCACUUCCGGCUCUGUGCUGACAGCUCAGAGCCUGGAGCCUGCUUCAGAUUCUGUGUCUCCCUCUCUCUCUCUGCCCUUCCCCAACUUGCACUCUGUCUGUCUCUCUCAAAAAGAAAUAAGCAUUAAAAAAGAGAGAGAGGGAAGGAAAUCUUGUCAUUUGUGACAUGGAUAAAACUGGAGGGCAUAUGCUAAGUGAAAUAAGUUAGGCAGAAAAAGAAAAAUACUGCAUGGUAUCACUUAAAUGUGGAAUUUUUUUUUAAUGUCAAGCUCAUAAAAACAAGAGUAGAAAAGUGGUUGAGCAGGGGUUGGGGAGGGAGGAAAUAGGGAGAAGUUGGUAAAAGGGUACAAACUUUCAGUUAUAAGAUGAAAAAAGUCUGAGAAUCUAAUGUAUAAUAUGGUGACUAUAACACUUUAACACUGUAUUGCAUAAUUGAAAUUUGCUAAGAGAGUAGAACUUAAAUGUUCUUACCAAAGGGGGAAGAAAGGAAAUAUGUGAGGUAAUGGUUGUAUUAACUUGAUGGAAGGAAUCCUUUUAAUAUAUAUGAUAUAUAUAUUCAUGUUGUACGCUUUAAAUAGCUUACAAUUCUAUUUGUAAAUUACAUCUCAAUAAAGCUGGAAGAAAAAGUUACAAAACCUUAAAAAAAAAAAAGCAAACACCAAUUCAGGCUUGUGAAUACUUGACUUAACACUGGAUGUUAUACAUAUUACUAAUCUAUAAAACAAUGCAGGUAAAAUGUAUAGAAUGAUUGAAAACUGGUUAGUGUAAUUGACCAUCGUUAGAUUUAAAUCAUUAUAAGCUAUGCAUCAAAUUGAGAGGCUUAUACUGCCACUAAAAGUAUAUUGACAAAUGAGAAAAACAGAACAUAAAAGUUUUAUUUACAACAUAAUUAUAAUAAAAGUGGAUAUGAAUAAAGAGGUUGUAGGAGGGCACAGGACUCAAACUAGAAAAUCAGACCCUUCUCACAGGAGGUUGAGGCUGAUUUGUCCAAUCUGGGUAAGCUGGAGAUGCCUAUAGCUCUUUUUGUUCCUGUCCUUUCUGAGUUCUGGUUAGUCAGGGUUGUCAUCUGUGAGCUUCCCUAUAUCCAUUAGAGUAUUGAGUAUGCUACAAUAAUAGGAGACUCCCCCCUCAAAUACAGUAAUUUAAAUGAGACAGAAGCUUAAUUCUCAUGUAACAGUCCAGAGGUAGAAGUGACCAAGGCUGGCAGGGUGGCUCAGCUCCAUUAGGUCGUUAAUGGACCCUGGUUUCUUUCCUCUUGAUGCUCUGCUAUACACCCUAGGAUACUUUCUUCAUUUGCAUAAAGCUGGGGCACUGCUGUGGGUUUGCACUGGCGCCAUCUAGCUCUGGGGAAGGGCAAAAUAGCAGAAGUAGAGAACAAAAGAUUUAUUUGUAAGCAAAUGAUGCAGAGGCUGCAACUAUCACUUGCACACAUAUUCCAUUGGUGAGAACUUGAACACACUUGGUUGUGGGAGAAACUGGGAAAUGUGAUUUCUGAUGUGGAGAGCAAAGGCAAAAAAAAGUGUAGAUAAAAUUAAAUUUCCUUACAACUUGCAGCCCACUGACAAAUACUUCAGACAGAGUAUGACAUUCCUCUGGGAACUCCCAACUGUCUUAAUGUUAAUACUUUACUAGUGGCAAAGAGGAACCUUAGCUUGACAGAAGCUAGGCCUCCAGGAUCCUGUAAGUCUUAACAUAAUGAAAAUCCUUUUGGAAACUUUCUUUGUCUCUACUGCCCCAACAAACUUAAAAGUAUAUAACUGGUUGUUCCUCACAAUCCCAGUGCAGCUCUUUCUGCCCACAGGUUCUGUACCCAUGCUUUAAUAAAACCACCUUUUUUUGCACCAAAAA
This is a long non-coding RNA of Neofelis nebulosa (Clouded leopard), 13229 nucleotides long. RefSeq lists it as uncharacterized. NCBI's taxonomy places the organism in Eukaryota, Metazoa, Chordata, Mammalia, Carnivora, Felidae. The transcript is spliced from 2 exons. The record is from RefSeq and is a predicted model, not a curated record.